RNAcentral lists this non-coding RNA (21 nucleotides) under Caenorhabditis elegans. The record is from RNAcentral. Lineage: Eukaryota; Metazoa; Nematoda; Chromadorea; Rhabditida; Rhabditidae.
UGGCUGAUAUUCCUACAAUGA